RNAcentral lists this long non-coding RNA (473 nucleotides) under Homo sapiens (human). RNAcentral describes it as "long intergenic non-protein coding RNA 2365". Lineage: Eukaryota; Metazoa; Chordata; Mammalia; Primates; Hominidae. The record is from RNAcentral.
CAGAUUUUGGAGUACUGCAAAAUGACUUUCCAAAUUGAUGAACCAUGGACUCCAAGCUGGAUAGACACAGAAAUGAAAAGAAGGGACUAAUAGGGAAUAAGACGUGUGAUCCAUGGCCCGAUGGCCCUGAUGGACGUGAAGAUCCACUGUUGUGGGAGGAGUGGAACACUAACACUGAAUGAUGGAGGCUGUGGUCAGAAACAGCUGAAUAUAACUGGCCAGUGCAGAAGAGCCUAUGAAGGUGGAAAAUGGAGGAAGGAGGACCCCAUGCUGGAGAAGUGAUGGAGAUUUGAAGCCUUGGAAGAUGGCGGCAAGGGAGAUGCCAGAGAUGAGACAAUGUUAAACAUCUGUAAUCUAACAGUCUUCUAUGGGAGUUUAUUACAUUUCCAUAUCCUAUGUUCACUUCUAGUGAAAAAUAAAAAUAAAAUCUUAAGCCCCCCACAGCUGACUAAAUGGAUCCCAUUGUGAAAGGA